GACGAACGCUGGCGGCGUGCUUAACACAUGCAAGUCGAACGGAAAGGCCCUGCUUUCGUGGGGUGCUCGAGUGGCGAACGGGUGAGUAACACGUGAGUAACCUGCCCUUGACUUUGGGAUAACUUCAGGAAACUGGGGCUAAUACCGGAUAGGAGCUCCUGCUGCAUGGUGGGGGUUGGAAAGUUUCGGCGGUUGGGGAUGGACUCUCGGCUUACUAGCUGGUGGGUGGGGUAGUGGCUUACGAAGCCUUUGAUGGGUGGCCGGCGUGGGAGGUUAACCAGCCACAUUGGGACUGAGGGACGGACCAGACUCCUACGGGAGGCAGCAGUGGAGAAUAUUGCACAGUGGGCGGGAGCCUGAUGCAGCAACGCCGCGUGCGGGAUGACGGCCUUCGGGUUGUAAACCGCUUUCGCCUGUGACGAAGCGUGAGUGACGGUAAUGGGUAAAGAAGCACCGGCUAACUACGUG
This 468-nucleotide ribosomal RNA is filed under the name uncultured bacterium. Its description in RNAcentral is "partial 16S ribosomal RNA". It matches the Rfam family "Bacterial small subunit ribosomal RNA", at positions 28 to 507 of the family's 1533-position model. The record is from RNAcentral.